GACGAACGCUGGCGGCGUGCUUAACACAUGCAAGUCGAACGAAGAGCGAUGGAAGCUUGCUUCUAUCAAUCUUAGUGGCGAACGGGUGAGUAACGCGUAAUCAACCUGCCCUUCAGAGGGGGACAACAGUUGGAAACGACUGCUAAUACCGCAUACGAUCCAAUCUCGGCAUCGGGACUGGAUGAAAGGUGGCCUCUAUUUAUAAGCUAUCACUGAAGGAGGGGAUUGCGUCUGAUUAGCUAGUUGGAGGGGUAACGGCCCACCAAGGCGAUGAUCAGUAGCCGGUCUGAGAGGAUGAACGGCCACAUUGGGACUGAGGCACGGCCCAGACUCCUACGGGAGGCAGCAGUGGGGAAUCUUCCGCAAUGGACGAAAGUCUGACGGAGCAACGCCGCGUGAGUGAUGACGGCCUUCGGGUUGUAAAGCUCUGUUAAUCGGGACGAAUGGUUCUUGUGCGAAUAGUGCGAGGAUUUGACGGUACCGGAAUAGAAAGCCACGGCUAACUACGUG
Molecule: ribosomal RNA, 510 nt
Filed under: uncultured bacterium
Lineage: Bacteria
Description: partial 16S ribosomal RNA
Rfam family: Bacterial small subunit ribosomal RNA
Source: RNAcentral